RNAcentral lists this ribosomal RNA (382 nucleotides) under uncultured organism. RNAcentral describes it as "bacterial SSU rRNA". It matches the Rfam family "Bacterial small subunit ribosomal RNA", at positions 367 to 762 of the family's 1533-position model. The record is from RNAcentral.
CGCAAUGGGCGAAAGCCUGAUGGAGCGACGCCGCGUGAAUGAUGAAGUGCUUCGGCAUGUAAAAUUCUUUUAUGAGGGAGGAAGUUUAUUGACGUUACCUCAUGAAUAAGGGGUUGCUAAACUCGUGCCAGCAGCAGCGGUAAUACGAGUGCCCCGAGCGUUAUCCGGAAUUAUUGGGCGUAAAGGGUGUGUAGGUGGUUUUGUUAGUCUUUUGUUAAAGCCUCCAGCUUAACUGGAGAAUCGCAAAGGAAACGGCAAGACUAGAGGAUGUGAGAGGUUUAUAGAACUCAUGGUGUAGCGGUGAAAUGCGUUGAUAUCAUGGGGAAUACCAAAUGCGAAGGCAGUAAACUGGCGCAUUCCUGACACUGAAACACGAAAGCGU